GGACGGGUUCCCGAGUGGCCAAAGGGAGCAGACUGUAAAUCUGCCAGCUCCGCUUUCGGUGGUUCGAAUCCACCCCCGUCCACCA
This 85-nucleotide transfer RNA is filed under the name Firmicutes bacterium CAG:552. Its description in RNAcentral is "transfer RNA-Tyr(GTA)". It matches the Rfam family "tRNA". Rfam says of the family: Transfer RNA (tRNA) molecules are approximately 80 nucleotides in length. Lineage: Bacteria; Bacillati; Bacillota. RNAcentral also lists the same sequence under 6 other names. The record is from RNAcentral.